This 506-nucleotide ribosomal RNA is filed under the name uncultured bacterium. Its description in RNAcentral is "partial 16S ribosomal RNA". It matches the Rfam family "Bacterial small subunit ribosomal RNA", at positions 29 to 523 of the family's 1533-position model. The record is from RNAcentral.
AGUGAACGCUGGCGGUAGGCCUAACACAUGCAAGUCGAACGGCAGCACAGAGGAGCUUGCUCCUUGGGUGGCGAGUGGCGGACGGGUGAGGAAUACAUCGGAAUCUACUCUGUCGUGGGGGAUAACGUAGGGAAACUUACGCUAAUACCGCAUACGACCUACGGGCGAAAGCAGGGGAUCUUCGGACCUUGCGCGAUUGAAUGAGCCGAUGUCGGAUUAGCUAGUUGGCGGGGUAAAGGCCCACCAAGGCGACGAUCCGUAGCGGGUCUGAGAGGAUGAUCAGCCACACUGGAACUGAGACACGGUCCAGACCCCUACGGGAGGCAGCAGUGGGGAAUAUUGGACAAUGGGCGCAAGCCUGAUCCAGCCAUACCGCGUGGGUGAAGAAGGCCUUCGGGUUGUAAAGCCCUUUUGUUGGGAAAGAAGUCCAUCUGGUUAAUACCCGGGUGGGAUGACGGUACCCAAAGAAUAAGCACCGGCUAACUUCGUGCCAGCCGCCGCGGUAA